Molecule: ribosomal RNA, 502 nt
Filed under: uncultured bacterium
Lineage: Bacteria
Description: partial 16S ribosomal RNA
Rfam family: Bacterial small subunit ribosomal RNA
Source: RNAcentral
AUUGAACGCUGGCGGCAUGCCUUACACAUGCAAGUCGAACGGCAGCACGGGUGCUUGCACCUGGUGGCGAGUGGCGAACGGGUGAGUAAUACAUCGGAACGUACCUUAUCGUGGGGGAUAACGCAGCGAGAGCUACGCUAAUACCGCAUACGAUCUACGGAUGAAAGCGGGGGAUCGCAAGACCUCGCGCGAUUGGAGCGGCCGAUGGCAGAUCAGGUAGGUGGUAGGGUAAAGGCCUACCAAGCCGACGAUCUGUAGCUGGUCUGAGAGGAUGAUCAGCCACACUGGGACUGGGACACGGCCCAGACUCCUACGGGAGGCAGCAGUGGGGAAUUUUGGACAAUGGACGCAAGUCUGAUCCAGCCAUUCCGCGUGCAGGAUGAAGGCCCUCGGGUUGUAAACUGCUUUUGUACAGAACGAAAAGGCUCUGGUUAAUACCUGGGGCUCAUGACGGUACUGUAAGAAUAAGCACCGGCUAACUACGUGCCAGCAGCCGCAGUAA